This 715-nucleotide ribosomal RNA is filed under the name uncultured bacterium. RNAcentral's name for it is "bacterial SSU rRNA". It matches the Rfam family "Bacterial small subunit ribosomal RNA", at positions 8 to 718 of the family's 1533-position model. The record is from RNAcentral.
AGAGUUUGAUCAUGGCUCAGAUUGAACGCUGGCGGCAGGCCUAACACAUGCAAGUCGAGCGGAUGAGAAGAGCUUGCUCUUCGAUUCAGCGGCGGACGGGUGAGUAAUGCCUAGGAAUCUGCCUGGUAGUGGGGGACAACGUUUCGAAAGGAACGCUAAUACCGCAUACGUCCUACGGGAGAAAGCAGGGGACCUUCGGGCCUUGCGCUAUCAGAUGAGCCUAGGUCGGAUUAGCUAGUUGGUGAGGUAAUGGCUCACCAAGGCGACGAUCCGUAACUGGUCUGAGAGGAUGAUCAGUCACACUGGAACUGAGACACGGUCCAGACUCCUACGGGAGGCAGCAGUGGGGAAUAUUGGACAAUGGGCGAAAGCCUGAUCCAGCCAUGCCGCGUGUGUGAAGAAGGUCUUCGGAUUGUAAAGCACUUUAAGUUGGGAGGAAGGGCAUUAACUUAAUACGUUAGUGUUUUGACGUUACCGACAGAAUAAGCACCGGCUAACUCUGUGCCAGCAGCCGCGGUAAUACAGAGGGUGCAAGCGUUAAUCGGAAUUACUGGGCGUAAAGCGCGCGUAGGUGGUUUGUUAAGUUGGAUGUGAAAGCCCCGGGCUCAACCUGGGAACUGCAUCCAAAACUGGCAAGCUAGAGUACGGUAGAGGGUGGUGGAAUUUCCUGUGUAGCGGUGAAAUGCGUAGAUAUAGGAAGGAACACCAGUGGCGA